GGGAUAAGAAUAAUUGUUUCAAGCAGAAAGUUAUUUAUGAGAAGAAGCCAAUGUUUUGUUCUAAGUGCGAUACAUGGGGCACUUAAGUGAUCAGUAGUUUGAUUGCAAGGACUCCUACUCCUAUUGUUAUCGACACUCCUCUCUACGUCCUACUGGUUGGGCAUGUAAGGGUAAUGGUAAGGAGGUGGUUGUGAAGUCUCCU
Molecule: long non-coding RNA, 202 nt
Filed under: Olea europaea (common olive)
Lineage: Eukaryota; Viridiplantae; Streptophyta; Magnoliopsida; Lamiales; Oleaceae
Description: long non-coding RNA (OEUR_LNC010197)
Source: RNAcentral